RNAcentral lists this ribosomal RNA (1020 nucleotides) under uncultured bacterium. RNAcentral describes it as "bacterial SSU rRNA". It matches the Rfam family "Bacterial small subunit ribosomal RNA", at positions 429 to 1478 of the family's 1533-position model. The record is from RNAcentral.
ACUCCACCGCGAGGAUAAGCUAAGUAAUAACCUUGCGAUUGAGCGUUAUCGCGAGAGACCCGGCUAUCCGUCCAGCAGCCGGCGGUAUACGAGGUUCAAGCGUAUCGAAUACUGCGUAAGCGCAGCCAGGCGGUUUGUCAAGUCGAUUGGAAUCCCGGGCUCAACCUGGGAACUGCAUCGAACUGCAGCUAGAAGUUCUUGUAGAAGGGGGGUAGAAUCCAGGUGUAGCGGGUGAAAUGCGUAGAAGAUCUGGAGGAAUACGGUGGCGAAGGCGGCCCCCUGACAAAAGACUGACGCUCAGUGCGAAAGCGUGGGGGAGCAAACAGGAUUAGAUACCUGGUAGUCACGCCGUAAACGAUGUCGACUUGGAGGUUGUGCCCUUGAGGCGUGGCUUCCGGAGCUAACGCGUUAAGUCGACCGCCUGGGGAGUACGGCCGCAAGGUUAAAACUCAAAUGAAUUGACGGGGGCCCGCACAAGCGGUGGAGCAUGUGGUUUAAUUCGAUGCAACGCGAAGAACCUUACCUACUCUUGACAUCCAGAGAACUUAGCAGAGAUGCUUUGGUGCCUUCGGGAACUCUGAGACAGGUGCUGCAUGGCUGUCGUCAGCUCGUGUUGUGAAAUGUUGGGUUAAGUCCCGCAACGAGCGCAACCCUUAUCCUUUGUUGCCAGCGGUCCGGCCGGGAACUCAAAGGAGACUGCCAGUGAUAAACUGGAGGAAGGUGGGGAUGACGUCAAGUCAUCAUGGCCCUUACGAGUAGGGCUACACACGUGCUACAAUGGCAUAUACAAAGAGAAGCGACCUCGCGAGAGCAAGCGGACCUCAUAAAGUAUGUCGUAGUCCGGAUUGGAGUCUGCAACUCGACUCCAUGAAGUCGGAAUCGCUAGUAAUCGUAGAUCAGAAUGCUACGGUGAAUACGUUCCCGGGCCUUGUACACACCGCCCGUCACACCAUGGGAGUGGGUGCAAAAGAAGUAGGUAGCUAACCUCGGGAGGGCGCUACCACAUUGGAUGCAGACCAA